UACAGAGGGGGCAAGCGUUGUUCGGAAUUACUGGGCGUAAAGGGCGCGUAGGCGGCCUGUUAAGUCGAACGUGAAAUCCCCGGGCUCAACCCGGGAACUGCGUCCGAUACUGGCAGGCUUGAAUCCGGGAGAGGGAUGUGGAGUUCCAGGUGUAGCGGUGAAAUGCGUAGAUAUCUGGAGGAACACCGGUGGCGAAGGCGACAUCCUGGACCGGUAUUGACGCUGAGGCGCGAAAGCCAGGGGAGCAAACGGG
This 253-nucleotide ribosomal RNA is filed under the name uncultured bacterium. RNAcentral describes it as "partial 16S ribosomal RNA". It matches the Rfam family "Bacterial small subunit ribosomal RNA", at positions 524 to 776 of the family's 1533-position model. The record is from RNAcentral.